UGCAAGAAAAAGCAAGGUAAAGAAGCCGUGAGAAGAAGCAGCCAACAGUGUUCCUCCAUGGCCCCUGCCUCUGUCCUUGUAGAGUUCCUGCCUUGAUUUCCCUCAGUGACGACCCGUGAUGGGAACCAAAUAGAGACCUUCCCUCCCCAAAUUGCUUUUGCUCGUGGCGUUUAGCACAGCAACAGAGGGCAAACUGGGACAGCCCUUGAAGUCUGAAGGAUGGAAACUGUGAUGCAAACCGCCACGCCCUGCCGGCGCCGUGUCUCUUCAGCCCCCUGUACAUGACACCUCCUCACACAAGAGUUUCCCUUGCAUCUAUCCCUCCACAAAAAUCACUGAAGAAAGCUGUCCACGGCAACACUGGAUCUGGAACAUACCCAGGGCACUGCGUGAUCAAGACAGUCUGGCUUCUGCCUGCAGAGAGGCUCCCUUACACCUAUCCUGACUUAUCUGUGCUCAGGCGACUGCUGUAUCCAACUCCUGUCCGUGUGCUGAUUUCAGACGCAGUUUUUAAGUCAGAGCUCCCACCCCAGUGGAGCACUAAUAUGCAUUCAGCAUCUUUGGUACCCUGAUCCCGCGAGCUCUUGGAAACACUCUGCCAGCUGCUCAGAAGGAUGCUUGCCUCCUUCUAGGGGCCCGAUUCAAGGCCCCCCAAAGCUUACAGUACCGGGGUAUUAAUAUCAGACCAUCUGAACUACACCCUAGUGUCAGGAAAACCCAUCCAGUAAGUUGGGUAGGACACAGAAACAUAAGAAAGCUUCACUGCCAAAGAAAUAAAGUCAUGCUCACAAACGACACGUUCGGGACUGCAGGGGCAUAUGUCAGAGGUGUCAGAGAAAGAGAGGGGACAGAAUACCUGACACCUGAGCCGCACUCAGUCACACUGCUCAGCAGCUGCGGGACUUCAUAUUCCAAAACUGUCUUUAGCUGCCCAUCCCCCACACCGUCUCGGUAUAUGAUUAUCCUCGAGGGCAAAUCGUGGUUGUGCUUAUACCACUUGUUGAGGGCACCUGGAGAAUGUGACAUUGAUGAGAAGAGAGUCGUCAGUCCAGGGCUACCAAAAAUAACAUCACCUUUAAAUCACUCUGCUUUUUCAGACCACGGAAAAAGGCAAGACUUAGUCUGCAGUACUAAAAUAUGGCUAACCAGCACUAUUCCUCCAUCCCUGCUGUCUGAGCAAUCACAAGGGUUUCUGUGGCAUAAUAUACUCUUAGAUUUCACAUAUUUCUUUACUCAAAUUUGAAUAUUUAAGUGACAAAUCAAAAUUUGAUUCACGCAGUAGACAAAUGCCUAGAGCCAAAUUAGCACUAAUUCAACUUUAAGCCUUCGAAUCUGCUCAGGACAGACUGGGUGUGUUUGUGUCAUUUUCUUCCCUAAUGAGAACUAAGAUGAAAAAACAAGGAAAUGACUCGGCCGUCUUUGAAAACAGCUCCUCGCACCAACUCCCAAGCUGAGUCUAACUGUCACAGAUGGGAUGGAGUCUGAAACAUUUCCACCCACUCUAAAUGUAAACUGCCUCAGAGCAGGCACCAGCCGGGAGACUUUCAGCAAGGAUGGCUAAAACAUUAGCCAGGUUUUUAAAUGAAGAGAAAGUACCGGCAUGCAGUAAUCCCUUUUUGUGUGUAUGUUGCAUAAUUCAUUUCAGGAGAAUUUACUGCCUGGGAAAUUAGUUUGGUUUGACAGAAGAUAAUCACACUUCCAAGAGCAAGCCCAUCAAGGACCAUCAAGUUCACUUAAAAGACAUCCCAAGCCCUCAGCUUUACAGACUGGAAGCUACAGAUAAGAACAGGGCAGAUUUGCAUAUGGAUCCCAGGGUAAAGCCCAAAGUGGCUGGGCUUGUGGAGAGGACACAGCUCCUCACUUCCUGCCUCCCCUGUCUUCCUCUAUCUUACUUCCUGCAUUUCCCACCCUCAGGGCAAAGGGCUGGUCAACCCCCACCCCCGCCCCCUGCAGAUUUACUGCUGCCGGCAUCCUAGUUUCUCCAGUGCAGGCUUCUGUCUGCCCCAGUCUCUCCAGGGCCACCUGGGUAAGCAUGCACUAUUCCCUCUUGGCUUUGAGCUCAGCACACCACGACAUAAACCCCACACCGUCUGUUAGCACACAGACGCGGGGAUCUCCAGCUGGGUGAGAGCUGCCAGGCUUGGGCAUUUGCUUCCAUCCGGUCUAUGGAUUUGGGGUAUGAAGGAACAGUCCCCAGAGUGCACCCCAUUAAGAUACCAGUCAAGCAGACUUUUAGGCAAUCUGCAGUAUCAGCGGCCGUUCUCUGAAGAACACAUCGGGAAAACCACCUGAAAUAAAACGCAGAAGGGAAACACAAUUUCCAGAUCCUGCUAUAAACACGUCCAUCAAGUUAGAGACAGAAGACAGCCACAAAAACCAGGCUCCUAACUCUGUGUAUGUCAACCAUCAUGCUAAGUGGUCCUCUUCCUAGCUUGAAGUCAUCCUUCAGAUUCCAACCCUGACCAGGAAACUCAACAGCUGUGUGACCUUGACACAAACCCAAACUUGAACUUCUCUCUGUUCCAGGGGAGUUUAAAGGACAGUGAUGAGCACCUCCUAAAGUGAACAGUUUUAACUCAACACCACACGGGAAGUAUUUGCAGAAGGGGUCCUGAUACAGGCUCACACCUUGAUUGCAAGAGAGUGUGUCAGCUGAGCACAUAUUCUGCUUGUAAAAUGUUCGGAGAUUUCUCAAACUUUAACCCAGUCCUAGAGGUGACUCUCCCGGAGUGACCACCUCAACAAGAUUAAGCUGUUGGGAUUUCAAAGGUGGUCUUGAGAGUUGUUAAUUAAGGCACAUGGAAAAUGAAAGUCCAGACACUCAGUGUGUGUCCGGACAUGGAUAUGAAGGGUCCCCUCAAGAGCUCUGUAUGCUGGAGGCUUGCACUUCAGCUGGUGGGGCUACGGAGUAGUGAUUCCAUCACCAGAGUGCUAACAGCAUCAGAUUAAUCCACAGAGCUGAUCUGAACUAACAGCUGGGUGUGUGCCAAGGACCGAGGGAGGCUUGGCUGGAUGCAGGCCACUGGGGCCUUUGAAAGGUGUCUUUCCCUGUACACCCAAUCCCCAGUGCUGCUUUCUGUCUCCGCCUCCCGGCUGCCCUGAGGUGAGCAGCUGUGCUCAGCACAGCUCGGAUCUCAUCCUCACCCCAGGUCCAGAGCAAUGGGGUUGUGUGCGGAUUGCCUGACACCUCUUUGUCCCGAUUUUAAGAGCCAUUCACGCGCCCCACACAUCAAGCACACGCAAGUGCUAGGAAGAAAAAUAACUGUGUACCGAGAUAUUCAUUGCAGGUUGCAAUGUUUGGAGCAUUGAUCUGAUACAAUCCCACGGAAACCUUAAGAAAUAGUCGCUGUCAUUCUCCCCUUUUAAUGGGCAACUAUGGGACCUGUAGCUAAACUUGACAAUUGGGCCUCACUUGCAAAGUAAAAGGCAGACCAGGUACAACUGAAAGCAAUCUGUUUUCAACACCAAGGGCUUUACAUACUACAUGCUACAUGCUACAUACUACAUACUACAUGCUACAUACUACAUACUACAUACAUGAGGUGCCUAUUCACAGAGUGCUUCUCAUCCACGCUUAUAGCAACAUGCACAAGAAAUUUCCAUGCAUUCAUGAUCCAGGGAUGUGGCUGGAGGACAAACAGUAACUCACCCCAGCGAAUGUGUGAAAAACGGUUUCAAACUGGUUUCACUCUAACAGUGCCAAUCACAUUGUAAUACACCGUGCAUUAACUUAACUGUCCAUAUUUAAAAUAUGAGUAAGUAAUACCGACUGGUACGUGUGUCGCAUGUUCUUCAAAAUGUGACUAAAACUCUGGUGGAGGGGCAGGGGAGACGGUUCAGGAGGUAAAUGCACUGGACUUAACACCAAACCUAAUGACUUAACACCAAAUCUAGUGACCCGAGCUCCAUCCCCAGGCCCCACAUGGUACAAGGAGAGAACCCACUACGGUCUUCUACUGAAAGUCGUCUUCUGACCUACACACCACACACACACACACACACACACACACACACACACCAUGACAUACACAUACACAAAUUAAUAAAAUAUUUAAAGAUUGUAGCAGAACAAUAAUGGCAAUAAUGGGGGGUGGACUGAUCAAAGUACUUUCCAGAUGUUUCAAAAUACAACGAGACACCUAUGCUAGUGUUUCUCAACCUUCCUGAUGCUGUGGCCCUUAAAUACAGUUCCUGAUGUUGUGGCGA
Long non-coding RNA from Mesocricetus auratus (golden hamster), 4206 nucleotides. RefSeq lists it as uncharacterized. NCBI's taxonomy places the organism in Eukaryota, Metazoa, Chordata, Mammalia, Rodentia, Cricetidae. The transcript has 2 exons. The record is from RefSeq and is a predicted model, not a curated record.